RNAcentral lists this unclassified non-coding RNA (312 nucleotides) under Acyrthosiphon pisum (pea aphid). RNAcentral describes it as "lon protease homolog 2, peroxisomal-like, transcript variant X2". Lineage: Eukaryota; Metazoa; Arthropoda; Insecta; Hemiptera; Aphididae. The record is from RNAcentral.
UAUUAAAACGAUCAUCAUACCUGACCAUAACAUGAAAGAUUUAAAAACAAUACCUAACAAUAUCAGAGAGAAUUUAAAUAUUAUCCCAGUGAAACAUUUAGAGGAAGGAUUGGAUAUUGUUAUUCCUGGAGGAUUGGCAACACUGAAAAAUCCAUUAGUUACAACGAUGGAAAUAUGUAAACUUUAGUCCAAGAAUAAUAUAAAUAUUAUUCAUUAUUGUUUUUAUUAUUUUAAUCGAUACAAUAUGGCAUAAGUUGUGUCAAAUUUUAGGCUUUAUCCGUCUCAUCCCAAGGCUCGAAAUGUUUUAGCAAU